CGCACAUUGCGCCCUCUAGUAUUCUGGAGGGCAUGCCUGUUCGAGCGUCAUUUCAAAUCCUCAAGCCCUUGCUGCUUGGUGUUAGGGACCGCUGUAAGAAGCGCCCCGCAAAGAAAUUGGCGGAGUUGUCUAGCACUCUCAGCGUAGUAAUUCUUCUCGCUUUAGGGGACUGGCGGCGCCUGCCACAAGCCUAUAUUUCACAUGGUUUGACCUCGGAUCAGGUAGGAAUACCCGCUGAACUUAA
Molecule: unclassified non-coding RNA, 244 nt
Filed under: Diaporthe sp.
Lineage: Eukaryota; Fungi; Ascomycota; Sordariomycetes; Diaporthales; Diaporthaceae
Description: partial contains 5.8S ribosomal RNA, internal transcribed spacer 2, and large subunit ribosomal RNA
Source: RNAcentral